Neolamprologus brichardi is the source of this 190-nucleotide non-coding RNA. The record is from RefSeq and is a predicted model, not a curated record. NCBI's taxonomy places the organism in Eukaryota, Metazoa, Chordata, Actinopteri, Cichliformes, Cichlidae.
CGUCUGCUGCAGAGAGAGUGGACCAGGAGAGCUCAGAGGUUCGACGUGGUCAGUCUGCCCAUCAAACACAGCUGGACUCCAUAUUUAUGCUGCUGGAGGACAACAUCAUCACGUUUGUGAAGAACGAGCUGAAGAAGAUCCAGAAGCUUCUGAGUCCAGAUUACCCAGAAUGCUUAGAGAGUCAAAGGGA